RNAcentral lists this ribosomal RNA (469 nucleotides) under uncultured bacterium. Its description in RNAcentral is "bacterial SSU rRNA". It matches the Rfam family "Bacterial small subunit ribosomal RNA", at positions 302 to 762 of the family's 1533-position model. The record is from RNAcentral.
GAUCAGCCACACUGGAACUGACACACGGUCCAGACUCCUACGGGAGGCAGCAUUGAGGAAUCUUGCGCAAUGGGGGAAACCCUGACGCAGCAACGCCGCGUGAGUGAUGAAGGCUUUCGGGUCGUAAAGCUCUGUCAAGUGGGAAGAACCUGGUACAGGUUAAUAUCCUUUAUCACUGACGGUACCACUGAAGGAAGCACCGGCUAACUCCGUGCCAGCAGCCGCGGUAAUACGGGGGGUGCAAGCGUUAUUCGGAUUUACUGGGCGUAAAGCGCGCGCAGGCGGUUGUUUAAGUCGGAUGUGAAAUCCCGGAGCUCAACCCCGGACGUGCAUUCGAAACUGGGAGACUUGAGUAUGGGAGAGGGAAGUGGAAUUCCUGGUGUAGAGGUGAAAUUCGUAGAUAUCAGGAGGAACACCGGUGGCGAAGGCGACUUCCUGGACCAAUACUGACGCUGAUUCGCGAAGGCGU